This 253-nucleotide ribosomal RNA is filed under the name uncultured bacterium. Its description in RNAcentral is "partial 16S ribosomal RNA". It matches the Rfam family "Bacterial small subunit ribosomal RNA", at positions 524 to 776 of the family's 1533-position model. The record is from RNAcentral.
UACGUAGGGUGCAAGCGUUGUCCGGAAUUAUUGGGCGUAAAGAGCUUGUAGGUGGUUUGUCGCGUCUGCUGUGAAAAUCCGAGGCUCAACCUCGGACUUGCAGUGGGUACGGGCAGACUAGAGUGUGGUAGGGGAGACUGGAAUUCCUGGUGUAGCGGUGAAAUGCGCAGAUAUCGGGAAGAACACCCGUGGGGAAGGCGGCUCUCUGGGACGGUACUGACGCUGAGACGCGAAAGCGUGGGGAGCGAACAGG